GACGAACGCUGGCGGCGUGCUUAACACAUGCAAGUCGAACGGAAAGGCCCUGCUUUUGUGGGGUGCUCGCGUGGCGAACGGGUGAGUAACACGUGAGUAACCUGCCCUUGACUUUGGGAUAACUUCAGGAAACUGGGGCUAAUACCGGAUAGGAGCUCCUGCUGCAUGGUGGGGGUUGGAAAGUUUCGGCGGUUGGGGAUGGACUGGCGGCUUAUCAGCUUGUUGGGGGGGUAGUGGCUUACCAAGGGUUUGACGGGUAGUCGGCCUGAGAGGGUGACCGGCCACAUUGGGCCUAAGAGACGGCCCAGACUCGAACGGGAGGCAGCGGGGGGAAAUAUUGCACAGUGGGCGGACGCCUGAUGCGGCAGCGCCGGGUGCGGGAUGACGGCUUUGGGGUGGUAAACCGCUUUCACCUGUGACGAAGCGGGAGUGACGGUAAUGGGUAAAGAAGCACCGGCUAACUACGUG
RNAcentral lists this ribosomal RNA (468 nucleotides) under uncultured bacterium. Its description in RNAcentral is "partial 16S ribosomal RNA". It matches the Rfam family "Bacterial small subunit ribosomal RNA", at positions 28 to 507 of the family's 1533-position model. The record is from RNAcentral.